RNAcentral lists this ribosomal RNA (505 nucleotides) under uncultured bacterium. Its description in RNAcentral is "partial 16S ribosomal RNA". It matches the Rfam family "Bacterial small subunit ribosomal RNA", at positions 28 to 523 of the family's 1533-position model. The record is from RNAcentral.
GAUGAACGCUAGCUACAGGCUUAACACAUGCAAGUCGAGGGGUAACAAGAGGAAAGCUUGCUUUCUUUGUUGACGACCGGCGCUCGGGUGAGUAACGCGUAUCCAACCUGCCUAUAACUAGGGAAUAACCUUGCGAAAGUAAGACUAAUACCCUAUGAUUUCCUUUGAUGACAUCAGAUUAGGAAUAAAGAUUUAUCGGUUAUAGAUGGGGAUGCGUCUGAUUAGCUUGUUGGCGGGGUAACGGCCCACCAAGGCAACGAUCAGUAGGGGUUCUGAGAGGAAGGUCCCCCACAUUGGAACUGAGACACGGUCCAAACUCCUACGGGAGGCAGCAGUGAGGAAUAUUGGUCAAUGGGCGGAAGCCUGAACCAGCCAAGUAGCGUGCAGGAUGACGGCCCUAUGGGUUGUAACUGCUUUUAUACAGGAAUAAAGUUAGCCACGUGUGGUUAUUUGUAGGUACUGUAUGAAUAAGGACCGGCUAAUUCCGUGCCAGCCGCCGCAGUAA